RNAcentral lists this ribosomal RNA (305 nucleotides) under uncultured bacterium. Its description in RNAcentral is "bacterial SSU rRNA". It matches the Rfam family "Bacterial small subunit ribosomal RNA", at positions 336 to 658 of the family's 1533-position model. The record is from RNAcentral.
UUCCUACGGGACGCAGCAGUGGGGGAUAUUGCACAAUGGGGGAAACCCUGAUGCAGCGACGCCGCGUGAGUGAAGAAGUAAUUCGUUACGUAAAGCUCUAUCAGCAGGGAAGAAAAUGACGGUACCUGACUAAGAAGCCCCGGCUAACUACGUGCCAGCAGCCGCGGUAAUACGUAGGGGGCAAGCGUUAUCCGGAAUUACUGGGUGUAAAGGGAGCGUAGACGGCGGCGCAAGUCCGGAGUGAAAGCCCACGGCCCAACCGUGGGACUGCUCUGGAACCUGUGCGGCUUGAGUGCGGGAGGGGC